Molecule: ribosomal RNA, 880 nt
Filed under: uncultured bacterium
Lineage: Bacteria
Description: bacterial SSU rRNA
Rfam family: Bacterial small subunit ribosomal RNA
Source: RNAcentral
UGCUGUGAAAACUGGGGGCUCAACCCCCAGCCUGCAGUGGGUACGGGCAGACUAGAGUGCGGUAGGGGAGAUUGGAAUUCCUGGUGUAGCGGUGGAAUGCGCAGAUAUCAGGAGGAACACCGAUGGCGAAGGCAGAUCUCUGGGCCGUAACUGACGCUGAGGAGCGAAAGGGUGGGGAGCAAACAGGCUUAGAUACCCUGGUAGUCCACCCCGUAAACGUUGGGAACUAGUUGUGGGGUCCAUUCCACGGAUUCCGUGACGCAGCUAACGCAUUAAGUUCCCCGCCUGGGGAGUACGGCCGCAAGGCUAAAACUCAAAGGAAUUGACGGGGACCCGCACAAGCGGCGGAGCAUGCGGAUUAAUUCGAUGCGACGCGAAGAACCUUACCAAGGCUUGACAUAUACGAGAACGCUGCAGAAAUGUAGAACUCUUUGGACACUCGUAAACAGGUGGUGCAUGGUUGUCGUCAGCUCGUGUCGUGAGAUGUUGGGUUAAGUCCCGCAACGAGCGCAACCCUCGUUCUAUGUUGCCAGCACGUAAUGGUGGGAACUCAUGGGAUACUGCCGGGGUCAACUCGGAGGAAGGUGGGGAUGACGUCAAAUCAUCAUGCCCCUUAUGUCUUGGGCUUCACGCAUGCUACAAUGGCCGGUACAAAGGGCUGCAAUACCGUAAGGUGGAGCGAAUCCCAAAAAGCCGGUCCCAGUUCGGAUUGAGGUCUGCAACUCGACCUCAUGAAGUCGGAGUCGCUAGUAAUCGCAGAUCAGCAACGCUGCGGUGAAUACGUUCCCGGGUCUUGUACACACCGCCCGUCAAGUCAUGAAAGUCGGUAACACCUGAAGCCGGUGGCCCAACCCUUGUGGAGGGAGCCUCGAAGGUGAUC